Molecule: ribosomal RNA, 488 nt
Filed under: uncultured bacterium
Lineage: Bacteria
Description: partial 16S ribosomal RNA
Rfam family: Bacterial small subunit ribosomal RNA
Source: RNAcentral
GACGAACGCUGGCGGCGUGCUUAACACAUGCAAGUCGAACGGAAAGGCCCUGCUUUUGUGGGGUGCUCGAGUGGCGAACGGGUGAGUAACACGUGAGUAACCUGCCCUUGACUUUGGGAUAACUUCAGGAAACUGGGGCUAAUACCGGAUAGGAGCUCCUGCUGCAUGGUGGGGGGUGGAAAGUCUCGGCGGUUGGGGAUGGACUGGCGGCUUAUCAGCUUGGUGGUGGGGUAGUGGCUUACCAAGGCGUUGACGGGUAGCCGGCCUGAGAGGGUGACCGGCCACAAUGGACAGGAGACACGGGCGAGACUCGUACGGGAGGCAGCAGGGGGGAAUAGGGGAAAAGGGGCGCAAGCGUGAUCCAGCCAUACCGAGUGGGUGAAGAAGGCCUUCGGGGUGUAAAGACCGGUUGGUGGGAAAGAAAAGCAGCAGGCGAAGACCCCGCUGUGCGGACGGGAACCAAAGAAGAAGCACCGGCUAACUUCGUG